CUUAGGGCUGCACUCACGGCAUACGGAAAUUCCCAGGCUAGGGGGUCGAAUCAGAUCAGAGCUGCAGCUGCCGACCAUAGCCACAGUAACACAGGAUCCAGAGCUGCACCUGUGACCUACACCAAAGCUCACAGCAGUGGUGGACCCUUAAUCCACUGAGUGAGGCCAGGGAUCAAAUUCUCCUCCUCAUGGAUACUAGUCGGAUUCAUUUUUAAGACUUUGGAAAUUCAAAAGCCAAGACAACUGAUAGUGCUUUAUUCUUUUCUUCCUUAUCAGGUGCAAAGAAAUUACUCAAGAAAUGCUUACCGUAUGGAGAUAUUGAAAUAAAAAUUAUUCAUAAAAAUUGCUAAGCUUAAAACUAAAGGUUCCAAUAAUUUUGAAUUUUUAUAUGCAUGUUUUCUAAUUUUUUACUUCUAUAUAUUUUUUAUAAUUAGGAUGCUAAAUCUCUGCCCAACAGUAUUGACCUUUUAAAGAGCUUGUGGUGGCCCAUCCUCAAUCCCAGGAUACAUGAAUGUUAGUAGGUGAGAAACCAGCCCAACAAAUUCCUGCUUGCUGGGUAAAAUAAAAAGUAAAAUGUAAAAUAAGAGAUCUGUGUUUUCUCUACAAAGAAAGAAAGAAAGAAAGAAAGAAAGAAAGAAAGAAAGAAAGAAAGAAAGAAAGAAAGAAAAAGAACAAAGAGAGAAAGAAAAGAAAAUGGUAGUAACAUUUACCCAGAAUUCUAAAGCACAAGGGCUAACAUUUGACUUGAGAAUUCCUAACUUUUGAAAAUUAAAUCCUCGUCUCUGGAUCUGGAAGAGAGAAAGUCUGCAUUUUACAUAUAUAAAUGACAUAAAGGAAUUGUGCCUUCGCUAUGAAAAAUUAUAUACCCCCCAAAAAAGGACAUUCUGAGGGGCACCCUUUGAGGAUGAAAUUUAAGCAAAGGGCACAGCUCCAGCUUAAGCAGCUUUUCCCAACUGGGCUUCCCUGGCAUGGGCUGAUGGAACCGUUAGGAACACCACGGUAACAUGGACACAGGCGGUAUUAGGGAGGCAAAUUUGAUUCGUGAUUUAUCUCCCUUGCGGUGGGACUCUUGAUGAUUGAAAAUAAAACACAGUGUGGUAACCAAACUUCUUUCCUCUUGGAAACACAACCAGGCUUGAGCUGAUUGGCAUCCUACAAAAAUAGUAGCAUCUGCCCUUCUGAUUAAUAUUCCCAUGUCCAAGCAAUGUUGUGCUAUUAAUCGAGACCCAGCAAUCAUCUGCUUUUGAGCUGUAUAACGUAAAAUAACAGAAUCAAGGCCAAUAACCCAUGGAAAUUAUCCAAAGAUAUAUAAACACAAGCCUGAAGAGACAUCUCUACAGCUUGGCCUGUGGAGAAAAAGGCCUGGGGUUUCAAGCGGAGCCCUUCCUCACAGCAUCCCCACAGUCUAGGCAGCCUCUCCGUGGUACCAGGACAGAGCAGCUGUAAAAUCCCAAACUGGAUACAGAAGGACUUCCUUGGCCAGGCCUUUGGGAGCCACCAUUUAGAUCUUAAGAAAAACCUGUCUCCAGGAUAGAGAUUCGGUCUUUCCAGCAUUUCAAACAACAGGGGCUUGGUAGCUAUAAAGGAAAACUCUAAGGAAGAGUAUUCACUAGGACAGAGGAAAUAUACAACCCUUCCAGCACUGCGAGUAUUGCUCUUGGACAAUGCUGUAUAUCUAGAUGCCUUAAAGAUUUAAGGUGUCAGCUUUUACAGUUUUCGUUUUCAAAAUUUAUCUGCAAUUAUUUCUUCUCUCAGUUCCCCAUCUUUGGAGCUAUAGUAACAAUG
Molecule: long non-coding RNA, 1785 nt
Filed under: Sus scrofa (pig)
Lineage: Eukaryota; Metazoa; Chordata; Mammalia; Artiodactyla; Suidae
Description: lncRNA (ENSSSCG00000057135.1, ENSSSCG00155015371.1)
Source: RNAcentral